CCUACGGGCGGCUGCAGUGAGGAAUAUUGGUCAAUGGGCGCGAGCCUGAACCAGCCAUGCCGCGUGCAGGAAGACGGCUCUAUGAGUUGUAAACUGCUUUUGUACAAGGGUAAACCUGAAUACGUGUAUUCAGCUGAAAGUACUGUACGAAUAAGGAUCGGCUAAAUCCGUGCCAGCAGCCGCGGUAAUACGGAGGAUCCAAGCGUUAUCCGGAUUUAUUGGGUUUAAAGGGUGCGUAGGCGGAUUGAUAAGUUAGAGGUGAAAUGUCCGAGCUUAACUCGGGAACUGCAUCUAAAACUGUUGAUCUAGAGAGUAGAUGCGGUAGGCGGAAUGUAUGGUGUAGCGGUGAAAUGCUUAGAGAUCAUACAGAACACCGAUUGCGAAGGCAGCUUACCAAUCUAUAUCUGACGUUGAGGCACGAAGGCGUGGGGAGCAAACAGGAUUAGAUACCCUAGUAGUC
Molecule: ribosomal RNA, 460 nt
Filed under: uncultured bacterium
Lineage: Bacteria
Description: partial 16S ribosomal RNA
Rfam family: Bacterial small subunit ribosomal RNA
Source: RNAcentral